This 410-nucleotide ribosomal RNA is filed under the name uncultured Methylomirabilota bacterium. Its description in RNAcentral is "bacterial SSU rRNA". It matches the Rfam family "Bacterial small subunit ribosomal RNA", at positions 1025 to 1434 of the family's 1533-position model. Lineage: Bacteria; Methylomirabilota (SeqCode). The record is from RNAcentral.
AGCGUGGAGACAGGUGGUGCAUGGCUGUCGUCAGCUCGUGUCGUGAGAUGUUGGGUUAAGUCCCGCAACGAGCGCAACCCUCACCCCUUGUUGCCAUCAGGCCAUGCUGGGCACUCUAGGGGAACUGCCCCGGUCAACGGGGAGGAAGGCGGGGAUGACGUCAAGUCAUCAUGCCCCCUACGCCCUGGGCUACACACGUGCUACAAUGGCCGGUACAAAGGGAUGCAACGCCGUGAGGCAGAGCCAAACCCAAAAAGCCGGUCUAAGUUCAGAUUGGAGUCUGCAACUCGACUCCAUGAAGGAGGAAUCGCUAGUAAUCGCGUAUCAGCACGACGCGGUGAAUACGUUCCCGGGCCUUGUACACACCGCCCGUCACACCACGAAAGCCAGCUGUACUCGAAGUCGCUGAG